RNAcentral lists this ribosomal RNA (1313 nucleotides) under Euaspis polynesia. RNAcentral's name for it is "16S ribosomal RNA". The record is from RNAcentral. Lineage: Eukaryota; Metazoa; Arthropoda; Insecta; Hymenoptera; Megachilidae.
AAUUAAUAUAUAUAUAUAUAUAUAUAUAUAUAUAUAUUUAUAGUAAUAAAAAUUAUUAUAUUAAUUAAUAAGUUUAAGUAUUUAAAUUGAAUUAAUAAUUAUAUUUAUAUUAAAGUAUAGUAAUAGAAUUUUUUAUUAUAAAAAUAAGAUAAAUUUUAUUAUACCUUUUGUAUCAGGGUUGAUUUAAAUAUAGUUAAUAAUUGUUAAUUAUCUCGAAAGAAAAGGAGUUAAAUAUAUAUAAUUUUUUAUGUAUUAAAUUAAUUAUUAAUAUAUAUUUAGAAAUUAAAUGUUAGUCGAAUUUUUUGAUAUCUAGUUUUUUUUGAAAUAAAUUAAAUUUAUUUAUUAAUUUAUUUAAAUAUAAAUUUAUAUAAAAUUUAUUUAAAUAGUUAAUAAAAAUAAUUUUAGGGAUAAACUUAAAAUUAUGUUAAUAUAAUUUUUAUAGAAUAAAUUAAUUUAUUAAUAUUUUUAGAAUUAAUUUUUAUUAAAGUAUAUUUAAUAAUUUAUAAAAAUUAAAUUAAAGAUUUAAAUUUAUAAUAUAUUUUAUUAAAAAAAUAAUUAUUUUAAUUAAGUAAGUAUUUAAAUAAUGAUUAAAUUAAUAAUUAUUUAAUGUUUAUAUAUAUAUAUAUAUAUAUAUAUAUAUAUAUAUAUAUUAAUUAAAGGAAUUAGGCAAAAUCUAUAUUCACCUGUUUAACAAAAACAUGUCUUAUUGAAAUUGAUUUUAAGUCGGUCCUGCUCAAUGAAUUUUAUUUAAAUAGCUGCAGUAUUUUAACUGUACUAAGGUAGCAUAAUCAAUUGUCUUUUAAAUGAGGUCUAGAAUGAAUGGAUUAAUGAAAUAUAAACUGUCUUUAUAUAAUUAAAUAAAUUUAAAUUUUAAGUAAGAAUGCUUAAAUAUAAUUAUUAGACGAUAAGACCCUAUAGAAUUUUAUAUAAAAUUAUUUAUAUUUAAAUAAUUUUAUAUUUAAUUGGGAGGAUUUUUAAAUUUAUAUAACUUUAAAAAUAAUGUUACAUAUAUUUAUGGAUAAAUAAAAUGAAUUAUUAUUAUUAUUAUUAGAAUAAAUUACCUUAGGGAUAACAGCGUAAUAUUUUUAGAUAGAUCAUAUUGAUAAAAAUGUUUGCGACCUCGAUGUUGAAUUAAAAUAAAUUUUAAGUGUAGGGGCUUAAUAAUUAAGUCUGUUCGACUUUUAAAAUUUUACAUGAUUUGAGUUCAAAUCGACGUGAGUCAGAUUGGUUUUUAUCUAUAAUAAAUAAAUAUAUUUUUGUACGAAAGGACUAAAUAUAUUUAAUUUUUAAUUAAUUAUAUAAUAAAUAAAUUA